CCUACGGGCGGCAGCAGUGAGGAAUAUUGGUCAAUGGGCGCGAGCCUGAACCAGCCAAGUCGCGUGAGGGAAGACGGUCCUAUGGAUUGUAAACCUCUUUUGUCGGGGAGCAAAAGACGCCACGCGUGGCGUUCCGAGAGUACCCGAAGAAAAAGCAUCGGCUAACUCCGUGCCAGCAGCCGCGGUAAUACGGAGGAUGCGAGCGUUAUCCGGAUUUAUUGGGUUUAAAGGGUGCGCAGGCGGAAGAGCAAGUCAGCGGUAAAACUACGGGGCUCAACCUCUUCGAGCCGUUGAAACUGGUUGUCUUGAGUGAGUGAGAAGGAUGCGGAAUGUGGGGUGUAGCGGUGAAAUGCAUAGAUAUCACGCAGAAAACCGAUUGCGAAGGCAGGAUACCGGCGCUCAAAUGACGCUCAUGCAAGAAAGUGUGGGUAUCGAACAGGAUUAGAUAACCCGGUAGUC
RNAcentral lists this ribosomal RNA (459 nucleotides) under uncultured bacterium. Its description in RNAcentral is "partial 16S ribosomal RNA". It matches the Rfam family "Bacterial small subunit ribosomal RNA", at positions 338 to 795 of the family's 1533-position model. The record is from RNAcentral.